RNAcentral lists this transfer RNA (74 nucleotides) under Nocardioidaceae bacterium. RNAcentral's name for it is "tRNA-Arg". It matches the Rfam family "tRNA". From Rfam's summary of the family: Transfer RNA (tRNA) molecules are approximately 80 nucleotides in length. Their secondary structure includes four short double-helical elements and three loops (D, anti-codon, and T loops). Further hydrogen bonds mediate the characteristic L-shaped molecular structure. tRNAs have two regions of fundamental functional importance: the anti-codon, which is responsible for specific mRNA codon recognition, and the 3' end, to which the tRNAs corresponding amino acid is attached (by aminoacyl-tRNA synthetases). tRNAs cope with the degeneracy of the genetic code in two manners: having more than one tRNA (with a specific anti-codon) for a particular amino acid; and 'wobble' base-pairing, i.e. permitting non-standard base-pairing at the 3rd anti-codon position. RNAcentral also lists the same sequence under 2 other names. Lineage: Bacteria; Bacillati; Actinomycetota; Actinomycetes; Propionibacteriales; Nocardioidaceae. The record is from RNAcentral.
GCCCUCGUAGCUCAGCUGGAUAGAGCACCAGACUUCUAAUCUGAUGGUCGCAGGUUCGAGUCCUGCCGGGGGCG